Molecule: long non-coding RNA, 1386 nt
Organism: Bos taurus (domestic cattle)
Lineage: Eukaryota; Metazoa; Chordata; Mammalia; Artiodactyla; Bovidae
Source: Ensembl
GGGGUACCGUGGAGCAAGCCUGGGAGGGCGUUCGCGCUGUAGCUGGAGCCGGGUCGGCCCUCAGGAGAGCAGUGUGCUCCGCCCCAGUUUCAGGCUGGAGCCUUUCGCUUUUUUUUUUUUUAAAUUGGUCAGGCUAGGUUUUCGGAUUUACGGUUUCCUCUGCACCCUAAUCCUUGCGGGGCGGAGGGGCGGAGUCAGUGGCCCCUUUGGCUUGAACUUCAGCCUGCACACCCCCACGCCUCCUCUUUCUCCACGCAGUGCAGCACCCGAGUGGGGAGAGUUGGGGGGAACUGAGUUCUGUUUUGGGUGCCCUUUGCUUCUCGGACUUGCCAACAGCCUAGAAAGCCUGAAGCCUCUAGGAGGAGUGAAAGAAAGAGUGCUAGGGGCAGAACGGGACUUUGUGAACUUUCACACGAGGUUUCUAACCCCCCGCCCCCAGAGGUAUUAUUAACUCUCCUGUUUGGGUCCAGGGAGGUGAACCUCCUACAGGACUGUCUGUGGGCCCAGGGCUUGGAAUGGACCCUCUUAGAACUUCGCUUCCGCUCCUUGAGGCUGCCUCUGUGGCCGCCCGAGGCCCCAGAGCUGUGAGACUUGGCAAAGUAAUUAAGACUGAGAACCCAACCGAGCGGAGCUGAGUAAAAGGUGGGCGGGCCCAUCCCACAGGCCAAAUGUUUUGGAAAGGCAAAAGCAGGAGAGUUGGAGAAACUAGAAAAAGUUUGCCAACUACGGACUAAGAGAUGGUAAAAGCACAUGAUGGAAGGAUCCUAAGCCCCUGGUUAACAUGUGGAACAGAACUCUUCAUUCCCCUGCCUCACCAACCUGCAUUGAACUGUGAUGGAAUCAAUGAGAAAAACAAGAGAUGGGGCCUAAAAUCUAAAGGAUAUGUUUGCACCCAACAAAGCCUAAAUGUCACUGCAACACACUAUAUGGAUGAAAGUUUCACAGUAAGUUAAAUGAAAAGAAAGAAUGAAAGAAUUGAGUUAUCACACCAUACACCAAACACCAAAAAAGAUCUUCAUGUCCCAGAUAAUCACAAUGGUGUGAUCACUGACCUAGAGCCAGACAUCCUGGAAUGUGAAGUCAAGUGGGCCUUAGAAAGCAUCACUAUGGACAAAGCUAGUGGAGGUGAUGGAAUUCCAGUUGACCUAUUUCAAAUCCUGAAAGAUGAUGCUGUGAAAGUGCUGCACUCAAUAUGCUAGCAAAUUUGGAAAACUCAGCAGUGGCCACAGGACUGGAAAAGGCCAGUUUUCAUUCCGAUCCCAAAGAAAGGCAAUGCCAAAGAAUGGUCAAAUUACCACACAAUUGCACUCAUCUCACACGCUAGUAAAGUAAUGCUCAAAAUUCUCCAAGCCAGGCUUCAGCAAUAUGUGAACUGUGAACUUCCUG